Molecule: ribosomal RNA, 253 nt
Filed under: uncultured bacterium
Lineage: Bacteria
Description: partial 16S ribosomal RNA
Rfam family: Bacterial small subunit ribosomal RNA
Source: RNAcentral
UACAGAGGGUGCAAGCGUUAAUCGGAAUUACUGGGCGUAAAGCGUGCGUAGUCGGUUAUCUAAGUCGGAUGUGAAAUCCCCGGGCUCAACCUGGGAAUUGCACUCGAAACUGAAUAGCUAGAGUUCGGCAGAGGGAAGUGGAAUUUCCGGUGUAGCGGUGAAAUGCGUAGAUAUCGGAAGGAACAUCAGUGGCGAAAGCGACUUCCUGGACCAGAACUGACGAUCAGGCACGAAAGCGUGGGGAGCAAACAGG